UCCGCACGCUCCGCAGCACGGGGAGGCCGGGAUCAGACCCGGGGGGACUCGGCCGAGGCGGGAGCUCCUCCUCGCGGCUCCGAACGGGGAGCCCCAUUCCCGCCGGGAGCGCUUCGGGGCGGGGAAGCGGCACCUCGGGAGCGGGAAGCUGACAGCAUCCCUGCGCGGCAUCCUUUUAGAAAGCGUUUUGCAUUUGCUGUUAUCUCCGCGAGUCAUAUGUAUGCAAAUUAAACACGGCUGGUAGCAGCUAAAUAGGUAUUUCUUGCCAAAAAUACCUGCUCUGUGGAGUCCCCAUCCUCUCGCGUUUGCAAACUGCAUCAGAUGCUGCAUAAGACAUCCUCCAAAAUGUGCUGACACUCAUACCAGUAUCAGGAUCAACAGGUGUGGAAUGACUGAUACGCUCCAUCUGGUUGCUGCUGAUAAGCUUUCACUGUGUGCUUACCCUGCUCAAACACCUCCCCUAGUUUCCCCCGAGCCAAACUCGUGCUGUGGGGCGAGCAUCCGAGCCGAGCCACGCCGCCGACAGCAGCCAGACGGCCGCGCUGCAGCGGCAAUGAACAAACAGCGUGUUCCUUCUCCCCCCGGCUGCGGGAAAUGCAGAGGGCAUUUUUAAGCCGGUGUCUUAGCGAAAAAGUGCUGUGAAAAAGGGCAGUGCUGUGGCAGACACGAUUCCCGACACGCAGGACGGGGUGAUCCCGCCCCGCCACCCAAGGACGCGGCGUGACGGAUGCGCCUGGUGCGGAGCUGCCUGCCCUGGCUGCGGAUCUGCCACCACUGAGCGCGGAGCUGCCGGCCCUGGCUGCGGAUCUGCCACCACCGAGUGCGGAUCUGUCCCCCCUGGCUGCGGAUCCGCCACCCUGGCUGCGCUCCGUGGGUCGGUAAUGAGCACCAGCCGCGCCCCUGCAAACACGGCGUGCUGGCCUCCGCGGGAGCCGCGGCAUCACCGCCCCACAGUUUUAUCUUUGCGACAUUACAGCACCUGAUUUAGACAGCGGAUGCCCUCGUCUGCAUCCGAGCGGGCGGCAGCCGGCAGCGAGCCCUCAAACCCUCAAACUGGGGGCGGAGGGGAAGCGGGGAGCAUCCGGGCUCUCCUUCAUGAAUAGUUAAGCUUUUCCUGUUUUAUACCUAGAGCUGCUGCUGGUGUCAGACAUUACCCCAUCUGCUGGUGAGCAAAGCAAGAAGCUCGCAGCAACGAGGGGGAUUUUCUGCAUUCCCCCUGCCAUGGACAGGGAUGUCUCGGCCAUUUCUGGUGCCCGAGUCUCCCCAAGGGUACUGGGAGCCUCCUGGCAACCCACUGUGGCGAAUCCCUCUGCCUCCACCUGCUGCUCGAAACACACUUUUCCUGCCCCCAAGGUUUAUGUCAUUCCUGGAUUUACCAGUUGAAAAGUUAAGAUUAAACAUACAUAGUUGAUUCUCCAGAGAGAGCUUCAUCUCUGUCACCUCCCUUUUAAAUCCCCAAGGACAUCAGGACACAGAGACAAGACUUUGAACUUCCAGGUAAGAAACAGGGUUGUCUCUGCCAGCACUUUUAAAACUGACUCUUAAGAGAAAUGGCUCUUUCCCCUCCCUGUUGUCCUCCUGCCCAGCCGGGGGCAACCCCAGCAGGAGGGCUCUCACCCAACUCAGCAUCCCAGUUUUUCCAUGACCCUGCUGAAUUUCUGCCACCAGUGAGUUCAUAUUGGGUGCUCAGCUGAGCUGCUCCUGUUUGCAGCAGACAGCAAGUGAGGAAGGAGUGAGCUUCAGUAAUUACAUGGAACAGUUCACAUGAUGCUCACACAUAUGGCUUUUGGGACAAGCACAGGACACAGAGGUGAUGGGAGGGGUCUGCAUGCUGUCAACCCAUGUCAGAAUAAAUGAAUGAAUGAAGCCAAAAUUCUGAUUACUUUUGCACCUGGGUAGCUUUACUGGUGUUAAUUACAUGGUGGAAAUGGAGGAUCCAUGUAAGCAAGAUUCAAAUCAGUCAUUGAUAUUUAGCUCUGCUUCAGGUCCUCUCUAUAGUGUUGCUUCUGCUGAAGUG
This is a long non-coding RNA of Zonotrichia leucophrys gambelii, 2017 nucleotides long. RefSeq lists it as uncharacterized. The transcript is spliced from 3 exons. Lineage: Eukaryota; Metazoa; Chordata; Aves; Passeriformes; Passerellidae. The record is from RefSeq and is a predicted model, not a curated record.